Molecule: long non-coding RNA, 1112 nt
Filed under: Piliocolobus tephrosceles (Ugandan red Colobus)
Lineage: Eukaryota; Metazoa; Chordata; Mammalia; Primates; Cercopithecidae
Description: lncRNA (ENSPTEG00000024867.1)
Source: RNAcentral
GAUCCAGAAAUAACUAUUUUGUUCAUAAGAGCAAUGUUACUUUUAUUAAAAUGCAACAUGAGGACAAAAAGGGUCCUCAAUUUGUUAUAAAAAGGAGUAAUAGUUGUGGCUUGAGCAACAUUAACACGUCUGGGAAUAUAUUUACAUAUACCAAAUAUGACAAAUCAGAUGAAGAAUAUAUAAAUAUACUAAAAAAUAAAGCCAACAUAAUAUCGAAUUCUAAAAACUGUUUUAAUAAUAAAAUAAAAAAUAUAACACCUAGUAAAAAAGACACUAACAAAAAAGGCACUAACAAAAAUGGGAGUAACAAAAAAACAGAAGAAACGGAUACUUACCAAAAACUAGAUUAUACAACUUUACAUUUGUUAUCAAUUGAAUUAAAUGCAUUAUUGAAAUAUUCUAUUGUUGAACAUAUUACUCAAGUUGAUGACAAAACAAUAGUUUUACAUUUAAACCAAAAAGAACAAACCUAUUAUUUGUAUAUAUGUUAUGACAAUGAUAACCCCGUUAUUACUUUAGGUCUAAAAAUAAAAAAAUUAUUUAACCGAUUUAUUGAAGAUGAUUAUGCCCAAAAAUUAAACCCUGUUUUAAAAUAUGGUGUAAUUUCAGAUAUAUAUAUUAAAAAAACUUUUAUAAAAAUAUUAUGUAUUGAUUUUAUUUUAAAAAAAAAAACAGAUGAAGAUAUAGAUAUAUAUGACGUAUUAAGUCAUACUAAUAAUGUAAGUAAAAAAGUAACACUUUUAUUUGAUUUGCAUCAUAAUUCUUGUAUUUCUUUUGUUAUCAACAAAAUGAAUAAUGAAAUAAUAGUAUCUCCUCAUAACCUUAUAACUGAAAAAACAAUUGAUAAAUCUUAUAAAGAAGGACAUAUAUAUAUAUAUCCCAAUACUACCAAUAAAAACGAAUGUAGAAGAAUUCCUAAUCAUUAUGAAUUUUUUUCUUCUUUUCUUAAUUUAUUCAAAUCUAGAAAAGAACAGAAUUUUAUUUCAUCAUUAUUAGAUAUAUAUGAAGGUAUUAGUUACAAUAUGUUAAUCAUUUUUUUAAUUAUUUAAAUAUAAACCCAAAUUCUAAGUUUGAAGAAAUAAAACAAACUGAUUUAAUAGACUUUUUUAACA